GGGGAUUUAGCUCAGUGGUAGAGCGCUUGCCUAGCAAACAUAAGGCCCUGGGUUCGGUCCCCAGCUCCG
This is a non-coding RNA of Rattus norvegicus (Norway rat), 69 nucleotides long. Lineage: Eukaryota; Metazoa; Chordata; Mammalia; Rodentia; Muridae. The record is from Rfam.